RNAcentral lists this ribosomal RNA (465 nucleotides) under Vreelandella stevensii. Its description in RNAcentral is "partial 16S ribosomal RNA". It matches the Rfam family "Bacterial small subunit ribosomal RNA", at positions 338 to 795 of the family's 1533-position model. The record is from RNAcentral. Lineage: Bacteria; Pseudomonadati; Pseudomonadota; Gammaproteobacteria; Oceanospirillales; Halomonadaceae.
CCUACGGGGGGCAGCAGUGGGGAAUAUUGGACAAUGGGCGAAAGCCUGAUCCAGCCAUGCCGCGUGUGUGAAGAAGGCCUUCGGGUUGUAAAGCACUUUCAGUGGGGAAGAAAGCCUUGGGGCUAAUACCCUCGAGGAAGGACAUCACCCACAGAAGAAGCACCGGCUAACUCCGUGCCAGCAGCCGCGGUAAUACGGAGGGUGCGAGCGUUAAUCGGAAUUACUGGGCGUAAAGCGCGCGUAGGCGGUCUGAUAAGCCGGGUGUGAAAGCCCCGGGCUCAACCUGGGAACGGCAUCCGGAACUGUCAGGCUAGAGUGCAGGAGAGGAAGGUAGAAUUCCCGGUGUAGCGGUGAAAUGCGUAGAGAUCGGGAGGAAUACCAGUGGCGAAGGCGGCCUUCUGGACUGACACUGACGCUGAGGUGCGAAAGCGUGGGUAGCAAACAGGAUUAGAUACCCUAGUAGUC